UACGGGGGGGGCAAGCGUUGUUCGGAAUUACUGGGCGUAAAGGGCUCGUAGGCGGCCAACUAAGUCGGACGUGAAAUCCCCAGGCUUAACUUGGGAACUGCGUCCGAUACUGGAUGGCUUGAAUCCGGGAGAGGGAUGCGGAAUUCCAGGUGUAGCGGUGAAAUGCGUAGAUAUCUGGAGGAACACCGGUGGCGAAGGUGGCAUCCUGGACCGGUAUUGACGCUGAGUGAGCGAAAGCCAGGGGAGCAAACGGG
This 254-nucleotide ribosomal RNA is filed under the name uncultured bacterium. RNAcentral's name for it is "partial 16S ribosomal RNA". It matches the Rfam family "Bacterial small subunit ribosomal RNA", at positions 524 to 776 of the family's 1533-position model. The record is from RNAcentral.